RNAcentral lists this ribosomal RNA (697 nucleotides) under uncultured Methanosaeta sp. RNAcentral describes it as "bacterial SSU rRNA". It matches the Rfam family "Archaeal small subunit ribosomal RNA", at positions 1 to 705 of the family's 1478-position model. Lineage: Archaea; Methanobacteriati; Methanobacteriota; Methanomicrobia; Methanotrichales; Methanotrichaceae. The record is from RNAcentral.
UCCGGUUGAUCCUGGCGGAGGUUACUGCUAUCGAGGUUCGACUAAGCCAUGCGAGUCGAAUGUAGCAAUACAUGGCGUACUGCUCAGUAACACGUGGACAACCUACCCUCCGGACGGGGAUAAACCCGGGAAACUGGGUAUAAUACCCGAUAGAUCUCGACUGCUGGAAUGCAUCGAGAUCGAAAGCUCCGGCGCCAGAGGAUGGGCCUGCGGCCUAUCAGGUAGUAGUGGGUGUAGCGUACCUACUAGCCUACGACGGGUACGGGUUGUGAGAGCAAGAGCCCGGAGAUGGAUUCCGAGACACGAAUCCAGGCCCUACGGGGUGCAGCAGGCGCGAAAACUUUACAAUGCCGGCAACGGCGAUAAGGGGACCUCGAGUGCCAGGUUACAAAUCUGGCUGUCGUGAUGCCUAAAAAGCAUUGCAUAGCAAGGGCCGGGCAAGACCGGUGCCAGCCGCCGCGGUAACACCGGCGGCUCGAGUGGUAACCGUUAUUAUUGGGUCUAAAGGGUCUGUAGCCGGCCGGAUAAGUCUCUUGGGAAAUCCAGCAGCUCAACUGUUGGGCUUUCAGGAGAUACUGUCUGGCUCGAGGCCGGGAGAGGUGAGAGGUACUUCAGGGGUAGGGGUGAAAUCUUGUAAUCCUUGAAGGACCACCAGUGGCGAAGGCGUCACACCAGAACGGACCUGACGGCAAGGGAC